GUUAUUUCCUUUCCCAUUCAAGAGUUGUUGAACAUUUUCUUGUAGGCCGAUAUGUCCUGUGUAAAUGGAGUAACGUUAGAAAAUAUAUUCUCUCUACCACACCAGGAAUGCAAAUAUGGUCGUGUUGACACAGAUCAACAAUGGAAGGCACAAUCCGCAGAAUACGGUCCAGGCUGGAUGAGAUCUCUCUGAUGGUGGAGAGGGAGUUCCAGACUUUGACGUCACAGACAGAGAAAGAUCGACAUGACCUCUCCGUCUCCUCUCAGCGCCCUGACGAUGUCCGGUGUGACGACUGUUCCCAUGGCGAUGACCCCAUAUGGGAGACACAGGUGGAGAAGAAGAAGGAGGAGGAAAAGGUGAACCCAGAGGAGGAGCAAAGGAGGGACAUUGCCAAGUACCUCAGGGGCCUCCUGAUCCCAGGGCAGGAGGGUAGAGGGGAGGACAGUUCCAUCAUGGUGGAACCUCUCCAUAUUCCUAACCCUUACCUGUUGGACUCCAUCCUGCUGAACCCUGACCUCGGUGCUAACCUCUCCCAUUUAGUUCCUGACUUGCUCCCUGAUCUCUCAUCCCUGCUCCCCAACCUGGCCCCCAACCUGGCCCCCAGCCUGCUCCCCAACCUGGCCCCCGACCUGGCCCCCAGC
This 641-nucleotide long non-coding RNA is filed under the name Salmo salar (Atlantic salmon). RNAcentral describes it as "lncRNA (ENSSSAG00000066430.2)". Lineage: Eukaryota; Metazoa; Chordata; Actinopteri; Salmoniformes; Salmonidae. The record is from RNAcentral.